Molecule: ribosomal RNA, 536 nt
Filed under: uncultured bacterium
Lineage: Bacteria
Description: bacterial SSU rRNA
Rfam family: Bacterial small subunit ribosomal RNA
Source: RNAcentral
UAGUCCACGCCGUAAACGAUGAGAACUAGAUGUCGGGGGGAAUCUGUCCUUCGGUGUCGCAGCUAACGCGUUAAGUUCUCCGCCUGGGGAGUACGCCGGCAACGGUGAAACUCAAAGGAAUUGACGGGGGCCCGCACAAGCGGAGGAACAUGUGGUUUAAUUCGAUGAUACGCGAGGAACCUUACCCGGGCUUAAAUGGGCCACGACCGGUCCAGAGAUGGACCUUCCCUUCGGGGCGUGGCUCAAGGUGCUGCAUGGUUGUCGUCAGCUCGUGCCGUGAGGUGUCGGGUUAAGUCCCAUAACGAGCGCAACCCCUACCCGUUAGUUGCCAUCGGGUCAUGCCGGGGACUCUAGCGGGACUGCCACCGUAAGGUGAGAGGAAGGCGGGGGAUGACGUCAAAUCAGCACGGCCCUUACGUCCGGGGCUACACACGUGUUACAAUGGCCGGUACAGAGGGCAGCCACCUGGCGACAGGGCGCGAAUCCCGAAAGCCGGUCCAAGUUCGGAUCGGAGUCUGCAACCCGACUCCGUGAAG